GUGGCCAGGGAGCCGCAGGCAAGGGACUAAGGGGAGGGGGGCUCAGUGCCAGCUGCUUAAAAAUGCCCCUGUGGCAGCGAGGGGCACCAGAGGCUGGGUCUAAUUAGUUGAGAAGCAGUGACACCCCCAACCACUCCCCAAACAGGCUGGCUCCCGUCUCCAGGCCCCAAGGAGCCACACCUGGACCAGACCCCAGGAAAGGCAAGGGCGCUAGCUGGUGGGAGCCACCCCGCCAUGCUGAUGUCAGAGAAGCAAGAACUCUGGAGAAGCAGCCUCCUGGGACCAGAGGAGGGCCAGCAGCAGGCAGCCCGGAGACAGAACUCUCACCCACGCCUCUCCAAGCCUCCCAACAGAAGACAGAGGUCCCCCACAGCCAGAGACAUUUCCUGAAGACAUGGGGAACACAGAGGCAGAAACAGCCCAUCCACCCAGGAGCUGUCCCCCACACUGCCGGGAGCCGGCACCCAGAGCCGCCAGGUAAAACUGAGGCCACCUGGUUCAACAUCACCUUUCACAGAAGGGGAAGCAGCCACAGAAAGAAGGGCCUCGUUAAGAAGUGGAACCUGGGACCCCCAAGCGGUGUCUCUCAUCCUGACUGGGGAUCCAGAGUAGGAGGGAGCCUUUGGUGGGGUAAGUGGAAUGGGGCGGGGUGGGGGGUGGCCAUAGACCCCUCUUCUCAGUAAGGCCCUCAUGUGAAGGAGGCAGGGGUUGGGACAAGUGCUAAGUAUGCAAGACUCAAGGGAAGAGCUGCUGGAGCCAGGAGAAGCACCUCCCUCCCGGCCCCUCUGCCCCUCCUCAUAGCCCAGCUGCACUGACUCCUCCUCCAGGAAGCCUUCUCAGCUUCCCCAGGGGUGGGAACCUUUUUGUCCUCCAGGUGUGCUUGGCUGUCCUUUCUUGGGCUCUCUCUCUCUCUCUCUCCUCAUCCCACUUGAGUCUGCCCCCUAUUCACCUUGUGAGGGGAAUUUUCCUUCUACUCAAUCUGACCGAGGUCCUCCAGGUCAAGGACAGCGAGGCUCUCAGUCCCACUUCCCCUUGGCACAUAGAAGAGGCAGUGCGCUGAAGGGACAGGUGAAAUGAUUAGACCCUGCCCCCAAACCAAGGCCUGGCCAAUUGGACAGGGCAUGAGACAUUCAGCGUAGAGGUUAAAACGAGGGCCCUGGGUUAGGAACCCCAGCUCAGUUCUCAGCUCUGUACCCUUGGAAAAUUCCCUUCCCAUGGAGCUUUGUGGAUGCACAAGGACUUGCACAAAGAAAACAUUCAAUAUCCAGGACUAUAAAAUUCCACAAAUGAUUGUGCUUAUUACAUUCAUUAUCACGAUGAUUAUUCCAGACACAAAGGAACAGAACGAGGCACCAACAGCAAGGGGCAAGCAGAUUCAAGGGCCACAGAGGAGAUGGAGGCAAACACCUUCCCCUGGUCAGAGGCUGUGCCUCAGCCCUUCUCCCUGCAUCAGUUUCUCCUUCAGAAGCAUGGGACUACCUCCCAUCUAGUUCUCGUUUCUAAACCUAGGGGAGAUGCUAUCUUUGCUGCAAUAAUCUUAGCCUACAUCUUGGAAUGGAAAUGGCCUUGGUGGAAAUGGUCUUCAACUCCUCUGGUCCAAGCUCAGGCCCUGUGACCCUGGAACAAUCCCCUUCCUGGUCCUCCAUGUAGGAGCAAUAACAUUCCCUUGCCAGCAGCACCAGCCAUUCUGAUGAUUAAAUGGUAUCGGACUCUGUUUUCCAAACUCAGUCAUUCAGAUGCCCCCUAUUUUAUUUCUUCCAUGUCUGCAAAUGAUUAUAAUAUUUUUAAAUGUAGGAUGAGUCCUUUUUAUUACACAUAGAAAUAGCUACUGUAAAUAGCAAACUCUAACACUGUGCCUAAUUAGGAAAUAAAGGUAACCAUAAAUACAGUAAAAAUGAAACAAUGUUAUUAUGGUUUAACCUGAUAGUGUGGCUUGCAAGGCCCUGGGCCUGAAGCCUGGGCAAUAAGUGAGAGUUAGAAAGGUGUCAAAGACAUGAUAGCAGCAAACUGAGGCUUUGUACCCCACGGUAAAUAGGACUGAAAGCAAAUUCACAGGGAGCAACUGAUCCAUUCCACAACAGAAUGCUCCCUGUCAAUUCGCUUUCCAUUCUGUUGUGUCCUGUCUCCCAGCAGAGACUACAAACUCCCCAAAACCACUUACCCACCAGCUGCACGUGAGAAGCCAAAGGUAGUUUAUGUGAAAGGGCUUUGGAAAUAAUCACGCACCAAGUGAAGGCAGAGGACACACCUUGUCAGCUUAGUUCUCAGCAGCAAAUCAUCUCUUUUCCAGGAUAACCCUCCCUGAUUCUUAUUGAAAUCUCUUUGCUGACCACACUAAGCUCUUCUCUCUCAGGGGCAGUGGGAGCCGUGGAGAGUGGAAUAGACCAGCUGUCUGUGACCUGCGAGGGAGUCCAAUGUCGGAAUCACUCCCCAGCCAAAUGCACGGUUUUAAAAAAUCUAUUUAUUUAUUUAUGUAGAGACCAGGCUAUGAGACUGGCUAAUUUUUCGUAUUUUUGGAUAGAGACAGGAUUUCAUCGUGUUGCCCAGGCUGGUCUUGAACUCCUGGGCUCAAGCGAUCCACCUGCCUCGGCUUCCCAAAGUGCUCAGGAUUACAGGCGUGAGCCACUGUGCCCAGCCACCAAAUGCAGUUGAAAAGAGUUUCUGCAAGAUAAUUCCACAGAAGAGGAAAGCAGUUAUCUGGCUGGGAAUACCUUAGACAGAGGCUGUCCUCUACACAGGCUGUCAGAACUGACCUACUGACCUGCCUGCUGGCAUGAUAGACCAGAGGGAAACACUCUUUCCACUCUUCCCAGACUGAGUGUAAGAGACAGACUUUUUUUUUUUUUUUUGAGACGGAGUCUCACUCUGUCACCCAGGCUGGAGUGCAAUGGCAAGAUCUCGGCUCACUGCAACCUCCACCUCCCCGGGUUCAAACCAUUCUCCUGCCUCAGCCUCCCAGGUAGCUGGGAUUACAGGCUCCCGCCACCACGCCUGGCUAAUUUUUGUAUUUUUAGUAGAGACAGGGUUUCACCAUGUUGGCCGGGCUGGUCUCGAACUCCCAACCUCAGGUGAUCCGCCUACCUUGGCCUCCCAAAGGGUUGGGAUUACAGGUGUAAGCCACUGCUCCCAGCCUUUUUUUUUUUUUUUAUUAGAGACAAGGGCUCCCCAUGUUGCCCAGGCUGAUCUUGAACUCUAGGCUCAAGCGAUCCUCCUGCCUGAGCCUCCCAAAGUGCUAGGAUUACAGGCAUGAGCACUGCUCCCAGCUCUGUUUUUGUUUUUUUAAGGAGGUAUAUUUUUUCUGUUCUCUCUCAGCCCUGAAGAAAGGCUACCCAUCCCCUUCAGACAUUCCUGAAAAUAUAUGUCAUCCAACAUCAAGGCCACCACAGUGACCACUAAGCAAUGCAAGAAGGUCCUCUGGGGUGCCCUGAGAUCUUGGCAGGGCAGGAAGAGUGAGAAGGGGCUUUGCCUGCUCACCUGAAAGUUCCCACCCAAGCCGGGCCCAGAAAACAAAAUGAAUUAUCUACAUGGUCAUCCAAUCAGCCACCAAAUGGCAUUACCUAGGUCCAUCAUCAUGUACCAAGCCACAGGUCAGACCCAGGGCCCCCCAAAUUAACAAGACACAGGCACUGUCCUCAGGAAGUGGAGAUCUAGCCAGGUCAGACCCACACACAAAUAACACUGAUACUAGAGAUAAUGAGAUUGGGAAUUAUGAUUCAGCCAUUCAACCUGGGCUUAUGUGGCAUCUACACCACCUGGCCCUGAUUUCAGUAGUGAGCACAGUUGACAGGGUCCCUUCCCUUCACAGGUGAGCCAUGUAGUCCACAAGUGGAGGUGGUCGUAAGUGAAAACCACAUUACCAGCAUGGUAAAGGGUUAGAAAGAGGGCACCGGGUGGGCGAGAACAUGAAGCAGGGGGUGCUGAUGGCUAAAGAAGUAAAGGAGGGGCUGGGCACUGUGGUUCAUGCCUAUAAUCCCAGCACUUUGGGAGACCAAGGCGGGUGGAUCACCUGAGGUCAGGAGUUCUAGACCAGCCUGGGCAACGUGGUGAAACCCUGUCUCUACUAAAAAUACAAAAAUUAGCCAGGCAUGGUGGUGCACGCCUGUAGUCCCAGCUACUUGGGAGGCUGGGGCAUGAGAAUUGCUUUAACCCGGAAGGUGGAGUUUGCAGUGAGCCGAGAUCGUGUCACUGCACUCCAGCCUGGGCGACAGAGGGAGACUCUGUCUCAAAAAAAAAAAAAAGUCAAGGAGGGUUUCCCAGAGUGGCCACUUGAUUAGAGACCUAGCACAGGAGGAAGAGAUGGGCAGGGAGAGUGACGGGGAGCAGCACAGUCCCUGGGAGCCCGAAGUGGGUGGGCACAGGGCUCCCUAGGAGAAUGGAAGGACAUCUAUGAGCUGUAGCCCAAGAGGAAGAGGUCACUGGGGCUAGAUGCGGCAGACCCUCGCAGGCUUUGGGAAGGGCUUCAGAAUUCAGCCUGAGGGCAAUGGGGAGCCCUUUUGGGAUAUUAAACUUGAGUAAGAUAUGAGCAUAUUUGCAUCUUGAAAAAUCAUUAUGGGAAGAUGGCUGGGAAGAGAGGAGGAGUGGCAGAAGAAAGAUAGGUUGGAGACAAUUGAUUGCUCGAUGAUAUAAAAUGUUAAGUACCAUGAAUGAUGCUGUUAGGCUGGAAUGCGCCAAGCAUAAAGGUGGGGCAUGGCAUCAAAAGGUAGGUCAACAUAUUAAAUAAUUCCAUGUAUUGAAAUAUCCAGAAAAUAUAUAGACAGAUCUAUAGAGAUAGAAACUGGUCUGCCCAGGACUAGGGGUUGUCUAAGGAUAAGGAGCUUCUUUUUUGGAUGGUGAAAUAACCUAAAAUAUAUUGUGCCAUUGUUUGCACAACUUUGUGAAUAUAUUAAAAACCUGUUAAUUGUACUCACUAAAUGUCCUCCUUCUAAAUUAAGCUGUUCUUGACAAGAAAAGGAAAGAAACAAAGAAAAGAAGAGAAAAAAGGUCAAGGUUUGGUCCUGGGUGCUCAAAUGGCAGGCCACAGACAGGAAACACAGUUGUGAGGAAUUACAACAGCCUCCCGGCCAGAGCUGGAGAGGUGGAGCCCAGGUCCCCUCUAACACCCCUUCUCCUGGCCAGGUUGGAGUCCCGCCACAGGCCACCAGAGCGGAGCAGCGCAGCGCCCUGUCUCCCAGCCUGAGGUGCAGUGCUGCAUCUCUGGUCAGUUGGGAGUCUGAGAUGAAGCACUGUAGCUCAGGAAGAGAGAAGUUGUUCUGCAGCCAUCAGCCUGGAAGUGGUAAGUGCUGGGGGGUUGUGGGGGGCCAUAACAGGAAGGACAGAGUGUUUCCAGACUCCAUACUAUCAGCCACUUGUGAUGCUGGGGAAGUUCCUCUACACAAGUUCCCCUGGUGCCACGAUCUGCUUCACGAGUCUGGGCAUGUCCUGACUCCUCUGUGUACCCCAGUGUGUCCAUCUUAGCAUGAGGCGUUAGCAUUUCCCCAGCACCCUGCCUCUGCUUUCUCUUUCUGAGCCCAUGGCAGACACAGCUAAUCAGUAAAGGCAUAUAUUCUUUUUUUUUUGAGACACAGUCUCACUCCAUCACCCAGGCUGGAGUGCAGUGGCAUAAUCUCAGCUCACUGCAACCUCCUCCUCCCAGGGUCAAGCAAUUCUCGUGCCUCAGCCUCCCAAGUAGCUGAGAUUACAGGUGUGCGCCACCACACCUGGCUAAUUUUUGUAUUUUUAGUAGAGAUGGGGUUUCACUAUGUUGGCCAGGCUGGUCUCAAACUCCUGACUUCAGGUGAUCUGCCCGCCUCGGCCUCCCAAAGUGCUGGGAUUACAGGCAUGAGCCUCCACGCCCCGCCAGGCAUCCAUUCUUGAAGUGCUCAGAUGCAGCUUCAGAAUCCUCAACAAUGAGCCCUGGAAAGCCACUAGUACUGAUUCACAGCUGAAACUCAUUCAUCAUUUGUGGAUCAAACAAUUCCUAAAAACCCUUUCAGCCCUGAAGAUAAAAAUUCUGGCCUUUGAGUCAGGGUCUUCACUCUGUACUUCUAACCUUGGCUCCGGGGUAUUGCCGAAACCAGUCCAGGCACGUCACAAAUGUCUGACUUCUCCCAGAGGCUUCAGAAGCACAAUGAGCAGCAGAGGAGAGCCAUGGAGCCAAGCACAGUCUCAUUUAACCUCCCCAAAAGCUUGGGAAGUGGGUGGUGUUAUAGCCCCAUUUUACAGAUGAGAAAAACUGAGGCUUAUUUAAGCAGCUCACCUAAAGUCACAUAUUGAUUGUGCUGAGCUGAGAUUGUACCCUAAUCUGCCUUCAAAUCCAUGUUUUUACCCAUUGCAUGUGAUUAUGGAACCUGGGACCGAGGAGCAGGAGGAGAACAUUCUAAAUUCUGCUCCCAUCUUGUCUUUACAUCUCAGGUCACUUUUAGCAAAGACAGACCCGGACACUUGCCAUUAAUACUACAGGCUUCCUUCCUCCUACCCCCUUCCCCCAAUCUUAUUCAUCUCACCUCUCCAGUAGGUCGUGGACUCAUGCAUUUUAUAAUUAAAGAAGGCCAAGGCUCAGGGGUUAAGUGACUUACUGGAGGUUAUCAGAGAGGAAGUUGCCAAACCCAGGCUAGGAACUGAAUGGUUGGUUUAAAUCCACCCCUCUGGCAGGAGACUGGGGAAUACACAUGAGCCGUGCAGACAGCAGAGGGCAGUCCUGGGGGUGGGGGCGCCAGAGGGUUUCCGGUACUUUUCAGGGCAAUUGAAGUUCCGGUCACUACUCCCCCCCAGAGCAAUAAGCCACAUCCGGCGACGUGUGGCACCCCACCCUGGCUGCUACAGAUGGGGCUGGAUGCAGAAGAGAACUCCAGCUGGUCCUUAGGGACACGGCGGCCUUGGCG
RNAcentral lists this long non-coding RNA (6860 nucleotides) under Homo sapiens (human). RNAcentral describes it as "non-protein coding CARMN:32". The stretch from base 5162 to 5245 matches the Rfam family "mir-143 microRNA precursor family". The record is from RNAcentral. Lineage: Eukaryota; Metazoa; Chordata; Mammalia; Primates; Hominidae.